RNA transcript from Rhodamnia argentea, 1710 nucleotides. It is a transcript of the gene named trafficking protein particle complex subunit 13, with no coding region annotated. The record is from RefSeq and is a predicted model, not a curated record. The transcript is spliced from 14 exons. NCBI's taxonomy places the organism in Eukaryota, Viridiplantae, Streptophyta, Magnoliopsida, Myrtales, Myrtaceae.
AGUACUGCGCUGCGAUCGGAGAUCCGAUGUCGAGUGUUUGAAGAACAUCGGAGAGAGAGAGAGAGAGGAGAGAGAGAGCUUGUUUGUCGAUCCUCGAAGCUGCGUGAUCUGCGGGGAGCAGAGAUGAGCUCGACGCAGGGGCCUCACUCUCUGGCCUUCCGGGUGAUGAGGCUAUGCCGCCCCUCCCUCCUUGUCGACCCUCCCCUCCUCGUCCACCCCUCCGAUCUCCUCGUCGGCGAGGACCUCCUCGACCACCCCCUCGCCGCCUCCCGCCUCCCUCCCCUCAUCGCCUCCCACCUCUCCGACGCCUCCGACCCCACCUACCGCUCCCGCUUCCUCCUCCGCGACCCCGCCGACGCCAUGGGCCUCUCCGGCCUCCUCCUCCUCCCUCAGGCCUUCGGGGCGAUUUAUUUGGGAGAGACGUUUUGCAGCUACAUAAGUAUCAACAACAGCUCCACUUUUGAAGUCAGGGACGUCACGAUUAAGGCAGAAAUUCAAACUGAGAGGCAGCGGCUUUUGCUUUUGGAUACUUCCAAGUCUCCAGUUGAAACAAUACGUGCAGGAGGGCGUUAUGAUUUUAUUGUAGAGCAUGAUGUGAAGGAACUUGGAGCUCAUACCCUGGUUUGCACGGCAUUGUAUUCUGACGGUGAUGGAGAGAGAAAAUAUCUACCUCAAUUUUUCAAAUUCGUUGUUGCGAAUCCACUUUCCGUGAGGACAAAGGUCCGUGUGGUCAAGGAAACUACAUUUCUGGAAGCAUGCAUUGAAAAUCACACCAAAUCAAACUUGUAUAUGGACCAAGUUGAGUUUGAGCCAGCACAAUACUGGGGUGCAACAAUCUUAAAAGCUGAUGAGCGCCAGUCCAAGAUAUAUUCUGCAGCUAAAGAGAUAUUUAAGCCACCAAUCCUGAUCAGAUCAGGUGGAGGAAUUCAGAACUAUCUUUAUCAGUUGAAAUCAUCCUCGCAGAGUAAUGUACAAAUGAAAGUUGAGGGAAAUAACAUUCUUGGUAAGCUUCAGAUCACGUGGCGCACGAAUCUGGGUGAACCUGGUCGUUUACAGACACAGCAGAUUCUUGGGACUGCCAUCACUCGCAAGGAUAUUGACUUGCGCAUUGUGGAGACUCCAAUCGAUAUUAACUUGGGAAGAUCCUUCUCGGUACGCUUCAAUCUCAUGAACUUGACGGACCGAGAAUUGGGCCCCUUUGAAGUUUGGUUAUUGCAGAAUGAUUCACCUGAGGACAGGGCUGUUAUGGUUAACGGUCUUCAAAAGAUGGCUUUACCAAAGGUGGAGGCAUUUGGUUUAUCAGAUUUUGCACUGAAUUUAAUUGCUACUAAACUCGGAGUUCAGAGAAUUACAGGCAUCACUGUGUUUGACAUAACAGAGGCCAAAAGUUAUGAUCUGUUGCCAGAUUGGGAGAUUUUCGUGGAUGUCAAGUGAUCUAUCUUCCCAUCUGACCUGUUCCACCAUUGGAAGAUAACUCCAAUUCCAUAGUGUUCGAGUUUUGCGAGAAAAAGUUCAUUUUGACGAUCUUCACAGAAGCCAUUGCUUGGUCAUUGUACAUAUCCACCUCAAGUUAGUGCAGAUUUCUGCCUGUCAACCCUGUUGGUGAAUCUGAUCAAGUUUCUGGACGUGCACACAGAAUAUCUGGUGCGUCAGUUAAUUUUUUACCCCCAAUUUCUGUCUCAAAGCUAAACUUGGUCACACCUGCCAAUU